This 121-nucleotide transfer RNA is filed under the name Nitrososphaerota archaeon. Its description in RNAcentral is "Thaumarchaeota archaeon tRNA-OTHER". The record is from RNAcentral. Lineage: Archaea; Thermoproteati; Nitrososphaerota.
AGCCCGGUCGUCUAGCGGCCAAUCCGGCUGGUCAGACCGAGGGGCCAAGGAUCCCGGGCUCUGGAUCCAUAAGGGGAGGAGAGCCCCGGGGACGCCGGUUCGAAUCCGGCCCGGGCUACCA